RNAcentral lists this ribosomal RNA (505 nucleotides) under uncultured bacterium. RNAcentral's name for it is "partial 16S ribosomal RNA". It matches the Rfam family "Bacterial small subunit ribosomal RNA", at positions 28 to 507 of the family's 1533-position model. The record is from RNAcentral.
GACGAACGCUGGCGGCGUGCCUAAUACAUGCAAGUAGAACGCACAGUUGAUACCGUAGCUUGCUACACCAUAGACUGUGAGUUGCGAACGGGUGAGUAACGCGUAGGUAACCUGCCUGGUAGCGGGUGAGAACUAUUGGAAACGAUAGCUAAUACCGCAUAAUAUUGAUUAUUGCAUGAUAAUUAAUUGAAAGGUGCAAUUGCACCACUACCAGAGGGACCUGCGUUGUAUUAGCUAGUAGGUGAGGUAACGGCUCACCUAGGCGACGAUACAUAGCCGACCUGAGAGGGUGAUCGGCCACACUGGGACUGAGACACGGCCCAGACUCCUACGGGAGGGAGCAGUAGGGAAUCUUUGGCAAUGGACGAAAGUCUGACCGAGCAACGCCGCGUGAGUGAAGAAGGUUUUCGGAUCGUAAAGAUCUGUUGUUAGAGAAGAAAGGGUGUGAGAGUGGAAAGUUCACACUGUGACGGUAUCUUACCAGAAAGGGACGGCUAACUACGUG